This 552-nucleotide ribosomal RNA is filed under the name Triticum aestivum (bread wheat). Its description in RNAcentral is "partial small subunit ribosomal RNA". The record is from RNAcentral. Lineage: Eukaryota; Viridiplantae; Streptophyta; Magnoliopsida; Poales; Poaceae.
CUCACAAUCAGGUAUGAGCAGAAUCUCUCUAAGCUAAAUCAGUUUUAUAAACAAAGAGCAAAGAAACCUUGGGCUAAGGAUGGAGAUAGAAAUACCAGAUUUUUCCAUCAAUCUGUUCUUAAGAGAAGAAAAAGAACUACUGUUUCCAUUAAGGAUGAAAAUGAUGUUAUACAUUUUAAGCCAGGUCAAAUUGCUAACACUUUUGUGAACUAUUUCAGCAAUAUGGGCAGGCCUUUUCUUGCAACUCAGCCUCUAAUCCAAUCAGAUGAUUUCACUUAUUCCAUACCAGAUAAGCAGGAAAUCUUGCAGAUUCUCAAGGAUAUGAAGCUAAAUGCAUCACCUGGCCCUGAUGGUUUCAAUGUGGAGUUUUACCUUGCAACCUGGGAUUGGAUUGGGGAUGACGUUGCUGCCUUGGUUACCAUAUUCUUGAAGGAAAUAUGCCCUAGAGGCAAUAAUAAAGUUGUUAUUUAUAUUUCCUUAUAUCAUGAUAAAUCUUUAUUAUUCAUACUAGAAUUUAUUAACCGGAAACUUGGUACAUGUGUGAAUACAUAG